This 384-nucleotide ribosomal RNA is filed under the name uncultured bacterium. RNAcentral's name for it is "bacterial SSU rRNA". It matches the Rfam family "Bacterial small subunit ribosomal RNA", at positions 28 to 416 of the family's 1533-position model. The record is from RNAcentral.
GACGAACGCUGGCGGCGUGCUUAACACAUGCAAGUCGAGCGGUAAGGCCCUUUUGGGGGUACGACGAGCGGCGAACGGGUGAGUAACACGUGGGUGACCUGCCCUCAGCUCUGGGAUAAGCCUGGGAAACUGGGUCUAAUACUGGAUAUGACCUUUCCUCGCAUGGGGUUGGGUGGAAAGUUUUCGGCUGGGGAUGGGCCCGCGGCCUAUCAGCUUGUUGGUGGGGUGAUGGCCUACCAAGGCGACGACGGGUAGCCGGCCUGAGAGGGCGACCGGCCACACUGGGACUGAGACACGGCCCAGACUCCUACGGGAGGCAGCAGUGGGGAAUAUUGCGCAAUGGGCGGAAGCCUGACGCAGCGACGCCGCGUGGGGAUGACGCCU